This 29-nucleotide small RNA is filed under the name Bombyx mori (domestic silkworm). RNAcentral's name for it is "ovarian small RNA-21375". Lineage: Eukaryota; Metazoa; Arthropoda; Insecta; Lepidoptera; Bombycidae. The record is from RNAcentral.
UACUCCUCAAUAAGGAGCUGAGCACAAGC